Molecule: ribosomal RNA, 367 nt
Filed under: uncultured organism
Description: bacterial LSU rRNA
Rfam family: Bacterial large subunit ribosomal RNA
Source: RNAcentral
CUUUACUGUAGCUUUGUAUUGGACUUUGAAUAGAUCUGUGUAGGAUAGGUGGGAGGCUUUGAAGUGUGGUCGCUAGAUCAUAUGGAGCCAACGUUGAAAUACCACCCUGGUGUGUUUGAGGUUCUAACCUUGGCCCAUGAUCUGGGCUGGGGACAGUGCAUGGUAGGCAGUUUGACUGGGGCGGUCUCCUCCCAAAGUGUAACGGAGGAGUUCGAAGGUACGCUAGUUACGGUCGGACAUCGUGACGAUAGUGCAAUGGCAUAAGCGUGCUUAACUGCGAGACUGACAAGUCGAGCAGAUGCGAAAGCAGGACAUAGUGAUCCGGUGGUUCUGUAUGGAAGGGCCAUCGCUCAACGGAUAAAAGGUA